This 465-nucleotide ribosomal RNA is filed under the name uncultured Anaerolineaceae bacterium. RNAcentral's name for it is "bacterial SSU rRNA". It matches the Rfam family "Bacterial small subunit ribosomal RNA", at positions 902 to 1382 of the family's 1533-position model. The record is from RNAcentral. Lineage: Bacteria; Bacillati; Chloroflexota; Anaerolineae; Anaerolineales; Anaerolineaceae.
CAAAGGAAUUGACGGGGACCCGCACAAGCAGCGGAGCGUGUGGUUUAAUUCGUUGCUACACGAAGAACCUUACCUGGGUUUGACAUAUAGGUUGUAGGGAACUGAAAAGGGACCGGCCCUUCGGGAGCCUAUACAGGUGUUGCAUGGCUGUCGUCAGCUCGUGUCGUGAGAUGUUCGGUUAAGUCCGCUAACGAGCGCAACCCUCGUCGUAUGUUAUAUGUGUCAUACGAGACUGCCGGUAAAAGCCGGAGGAAGGUGAGGAUGAUGUCAAGUCAGCAUGACCUUUAUAUCCAGGGCUACACACACGCUACAAUGGUCUGUACAAUGGGUAACCAAGCCGCGAGGCGGAGCCAAUCCUGAAAGCAGGCCUCAGUUCAGAUUGCAGUCUGCAACUCGACUGCAUGAAGCCGGAGUUGCUAGUAACCGCAGGUCAGCAAUACUGCGGUGAAUACGUUCCCGGGUCUU